UUUUAUAAGUACCUGAUCGUUCCUCCGCGUCUUCUGUUAAUUUGCUUCCCACCGCUCGCUAAUGGUCAUUGAUGAAUAGAAUAGAUUGCACGCGCUGCUGGUCUACUGCAGCGUGCAUUAUUCAGUGCGGCGCCGCCUCCUUUCCCUCUAUGGUUCUACGUCUGCUCUAAACCGACCGUACAUUUUGUGGUUGGUGAAAUCCGCUGAAUGGAUCCGUCCCCAACCCACUUACCAGUUACCACCCUCGCCACCAUCAGCAUUUCUCUUUUGUUGUUUUUACUGCCUCCACUUUCCUCUCAUUUCUAGGACGCGAACCGAACCGAAUCGAAUCUCCGCCUAAAAGCUUCUCCCCCGUGCCCCACCCCCAUCAUUAUUAGAGGAAGAAAUGGAUGGAUCGCCGAUGCGCUCCUCUUCUGGCAGCUGCUGUCGCAACGGCAGCUAAGUGAUCCGUCGCCGCAUUAGCUCUUCAGCCGAUGCGGUGAUUGAGCAGCUCUCCUCGGCCUUCGUCGUGCAGAUCCACAUCUGCAGUUAUGAUACGGAUUGGUGCGUUGACGAAUCAAUCUGAUCUGUAGCCCCCUCCUCUUUCAGCUUCCCCUCCCCCUCUUCGAUUCCCCUCUUCCUCUUAGAAUCCGUAAUUCCAUCUGCAUUUCUUCCCCGGAUUCGCUUCGCUAGAGAGCGCGGGGAAAAAGGAAAACGACGAAAAUGAAGAAGCCGAAUUCCGAGUCGUGGCUUGGACGCGUGGGCCUGGCGCGGGGGAGCGCCGGCGCCGGCGACGGGGAGAGGGCCUCGAUCGGGGUGCUGGCCUUCGAGGCGGCGAGCCUCAUGUCGAAGACGGCCCACCUCUGGUACGCCCUCGACGACGCCAGCGUCGCCCGCCUCAGGGACGACUUCCUGCACCUCGAGGGCGUCCGCAAGCUCGUCUCCGACGACGACGACUUCCUCCUGGGCCUGGCGCUCGACGAGAUGGCCGACUCCCUCGGCUUCCUGACCCGCUCCGUCGCCCGGCUCGGGAGGCGCUGCUCCGACCCCUUGCUGCGGCGCUUCGACCGCUUGUUCGCGGAUCUGACCAAGAGCGGCCACGAUCCGUACGGCCUCCGCUACGCCGGCAAGAAGAUGGAGCGCAAGGUGAAGAAGAUGGAGCGUCUGGUGGCGGCCACCUCCGACCUGUACCAGGAGCUGGAGGUGCUGGCCGAGCUGGAGCAGGCCCUGAGGAGGGUGCAGCCCCGCAACGACCCCCGGAGCAUCGCCGAAUUCGCGCACAAGGUGGUGUGGCAGCGGCAGCAAGUGAAGUAUCUGCGAGGAGCCUCGCUCUGGGGCCGGACCUACGAUUAUGCCGUCCGCUUGCUGGCGAGGUCCCUCUUCACCAUCCUUGCCAGGAUCAAGCUCGUCUUCGGUUUCGAGCACAAGGGCGCUGCUGAUCCUGCUGCCGGGAGACGCCUCUCUCGCAGCCACUCUGUUGCCGGGCUGAUGCACUCCUCCGUCCAUCCGUCCGACUACAAUGAGAUUCACAGGUUUUCCUCGGGCCCACUCGGGAAUUCCACCGCCAAAUCAGGGCCUAUUACCAGCAGAGAAUCUAGAGAUGUUGGGAAGCAGCGUCCGCCUCACGGCCGUCUCCAUCACUCAGGGAAAGGCAUGAAAACCAGGUGGCCUUCGGUUGGUGCAAAACCGUUCAAGGGUUGCAUGGCUGGAGGAAGCGAGUCUCCGGUUCUGCAGAGCUGCAUAUCAUUGGACGGUGGCUUCAGAAGGUCAAGUGCUGGGCCGGCAAACCACGUUGAAAAGGAACGCGAUUACAUCGAAACUCAGUUCAGGGGUAAUUUUUCGAGUAUGAAGCUCUUCUCGUCCUUGUUUGAGUCCAAAUCUAAGCUUCUGAAUGCCCCAGAAUCGACCCUUGGCGCAGCUGCUUUGGCUCUGCACUAUGCUAAUGUCAUAAUCGUCAUUGAGAAGCUCGCGGCAUCACCCCAUCUGAUUGGUCCGGAUGCAAGGGACGACCUGUACAAUAUGCUGCCAAUGAGCAUAAGAUCAUCCCUUAGAACACGGCUCAAAAUUUAUGCAAGGAAUUUAGCCGCUCCGGUCUAUGAUCCAGCUCUAGCGGUGGAAUGGACUGAGGCGAUAACAAGGAUAUUGGAGUGGUUGGCCCCGCUUGCUCAUAACAUGAUAAGGUGGCAGUCCGAGCGGAAUUUCGAGCAGCAGCAUGUUGUUUCAAGCACCAAUGUACUUUUGCUGCAGACCCUUUACUAUGCGAAUCAAAUGAAGACAGAAGCUGCAAUAACUGAGCUGCUCGUUGGCCUCAACUAUUUAUGGAGACAUGGAAGGGAACUCAAUGCAAAAGCAAUAUUAGACACCAACCAAUUAGCAACCGGAAUAUGGAGCCUUUAUCGGGCAACGUGAUUAGCUUAUGAUGAGUUCAUCGUUUCUUCACAAACAUCAUACAACAUGUGGCAGGCAUGGACUCGCAAAUCUUAAAGGAGGCUUUUUAGAUGUCUCAUUUUUGUUGCUUUCUAAUAUAAUGUGGAUCGUCUACAUUGGCAGGUGUUUCUUUUGAUCUCUUAGCAUGAUUGACUCUCCAGUUCUUUUUUGCCACUUUGACAAAAUCUUUUUGUUACAAAAAUUGGUUUAGAUUGCAGUUUUCAGAUUACGACAACUCAAGUUCAGAGCAUAGCUUAUUUUCCUCUUCACUCUACUACACUAUGCAUUCUCUAGGUGCAGUUGUUCUGCUGAAACAUAUUCAAACUCUACCAAGGAUUACUAGCAUGGAUAGAAAUUGUCAAGAUGGAGCCAUUAAAGAGUAAUAGUUUCCCAAGAAGUGCCUCCAACUUGGCUGACCUGCUUUUAUUUGGUUUGUGCUACCAAAUCAUCUUGUAUAAUAUAUUCCUCUAUUGUUAAUUUCCAUUCUUCCUGUGGAUUUUGACUUAUUUUUCAACCCUCACUUCCAGCACUUUCAGGAGUUCUUGACAAAUUGAAAGAACCAAAACAGGUCUAUAGAGGCAAACAUGUUGAGAUUAAGAAGCAUAUAGUUUGAAGCUAUUUAGAUACUUUCAUGCAUUGUAUGAAGUUACGAGUAAAUCUCCAUUUAUGGCUAUCUUUAGAAUGUUGGGCACUGAAUUACUUCUUCAGCGCUUUUAUUGUUACCAAAUUUAUAAUUACUAGUGGAUUAAUAGAAAUAGAUUUAUAUGGACCUUUAGAUCUUCAAAGCGUAUAAUGGCAACUAAUUCAGAUGCUUGACAUACUGAGGCCUACUCUAGCUAUGACGUUCUUUGUUUAACUACCUUAAAAUCUAAUGCCUUGCCAAGUACUUCUUUCAUAUUAGAGUUCUGUUUUUUUUUUUGCAAAACCUUAGCUAGAAUGUUUAAUUUACGAUAUAAUUAAGCUUUUGCAACAGUCAUAUUCUCUUAGGAGAGGAAAAAAGGAUGAUAUAAUGGCUAAAUAAUAAAAUGUCCAAGGAUUAAUAUGUGAAUUCACAUAUAUGUGAACAAUGAAGCGCCUUAAUCAUACCAUUUUAUAAGUAGCUGGCAUGAUAACCAGUGGGGCAAUAUGCAGCAUGUUAACCUGAGGGUUGCUAAAUAGGAUGAAGAUUAUCUCAGGCCAAAGAAAGAAGCAUCAUACAUUAACAAGUUGGAGAAAUCAAAGUGGAGUGCCUUUGUCUGAUUUCAUGGAUGUGGUUUAGUUGGGAAGACAACCACUUUGUUGUUUUAUUGGUGUUUUGAAAUUGACAUUCCAUUAUCAUGUGAUGAUAUUUAGGGACUGUUUGGUUUAAGAUUUGUAAUAU
Ananas comosus (pineapple) is the source of this 3766-nucleotide RNA transcript. RefSeq lists it as uncharacterized. The record is from RefSeq and is a predicted model, not a curated record. The transcript has 3 exons. NCBI's taxonomy places the organism in Eukaryota, Viridiplantae, Streptophyta, Magnoliopsida, Poales, Bromeliaceae.